CAGCAGCCACGGGAAUACGUAGGGUGCGAGCGUUAAUCGGAAUUACUGGGCGUAAAGCGUGCGCAGGCGGUUAUAUAAGACAGAUGUGAAAUCCCCGGGCUCAACCUGGGACCUGCAUUUGUGACUGUAUAGCUAGAGUACGGUAGAGGGGGAUGGAAUUCCGCGUGUAGCAGUGAAAUGCGUAGAUACGCGGAGGAACACCGAUGGCGAAGGCAAUCCCCUGGACCUGUACUGACGCUCAUGCACGAAAGCGUGGGGAGCAAACAGGAUUAGAUACCCCAGUAGUCCCUGUCUUUAUACC
RNAcentral lists this ribosomal RNA (301 nucleotides) under uncultured bacterium. RNAcentral's name for it is "partial 16S ribosomal RNA". It matches the Rfam family "Bacterial small subunit ribosomal RNA", at positions 509 to 808 of the family's 1533-position model. The record is from RNAcentral.